GUAGGGAAUAUUGCGCAAUGGGGGAAACCCUGACGCAGCGACGCCGCGUGAGUGAUGAAGGCCUUCGGGUCGUAAAGCUCUGUUGCAGGGGAAUAAAAAAAUGAAGGUACCCCGUGAGGAAGGAUCGGCUAACUUCGUGCCAGCAGCCGCGGUAAGACGAGGGAUCCUAGAGUUGCUCGGAAUCAUUGGGCGUAAAGAGGGCGUAGGUGGCUUGGUAAGUCAGGUGUGAAAGCCCAGGGCUCAACUCUGGAAGUGCAUUUGAUACUGGUGAGCUUGAGUGUCGGAGAGGUUACCGGAAUACCUGGUGUAGUGGUGAAAUACGUAGAUAUCAGGUGGAACACCGGAGGCGAAGGCGGGUAACUGGACGAACACUGACACUGAGGCCCGAAAGCGUGGGGAUCAAACAGGAUUAGAAACCCGUGUAGUCC
Molecule: ribosomal RNA, 428 nt
Filed under: uncultured bacterium
Lineage: Bacteria
Description: partial 16S ribosomal RNA
Rfam family: Bacterial small subunit ribosomal RNA
Source: RNAcentral